GACGAACGCUGGCGGCGUGCUUAACACAUGCAAGUCGAACGGUAAGGCUCCAGCUUGCUGGGGUACACGAGUGGCGAACGGGUGAGUAACACGUGGGUGACCUGCCCUGCACUUCGGGAUAAGCCUGGGAAACUGGGUCUAAUACCGGAUAGGACCAUGGUGUGGAUACUGUGGUGGAAAGUUUUUUCGGUGUGGGAUGGGCCCGCGGCCUAUCAGCUUGUUGGUGGGGUAAUGGCCUACCAAGGCGGCGACGGGUAGCCGGCCUGAGAGGGUGGACGGCCACAUUGGGUCUGAGACACGGCCCAGACUCCUACGGGAGGCAGCAGUGGGGAAUAUUGCACAAUGGGCGGAAGCCUGAUGCAGCGACGCCGCGUGGGGGAUGACGGCCUUCGGGUUGUAAACUCCUUUCACCAUCGACGAAGGGUUUCUGACGGUAGAUGGAGAAGAAGCACCGGCUAACUACGUG
This 466-nucleotide ribosomal RNA is filed under the name uncultured bacterium. RNAcentral describes it as "partial 16S ribosomal RNA". It matches the Rfam family "Bacterial small subunit ribosomal RNA", at positions 28 to 507 of the family's 1533-position model. The record is from RNAcentral.